UUGCGUGCUGUAACAUAGUAAUUUUUCUCAAUUAGGAGAGAUGGCUGA
RNAcentral lists this transfer RNA (48 nucleotides) under Pachira endecaphylla. Its description in RNAcentral is "partial tRNA-Ser". Lineage: Eukaryota; Viridiplantae; Streptophyta; Magnoliopsida; Malvales; Malvaceae. The record is from RNAcentral.